GGGUAGUUUGACUGGGGCGGUCUCCUCCUAAAGAGUAACGGAGGAGCACGAAGGUUAGCUAAUCCUGGUCGGACAUCAGGAGGUUAGUGCAAAGGCAUAAGCUAGCUUGACUGCGAGCGUGACGGCGCGAGCAGGUGCGAAAGCAGGUCUUAGUGAUCCGGUGGUUCUGAAUGGAAGGGCCAUCGCUCAACGGAUAAAAGGUACUCCGGGGAUAACAGGCUGAUACCGCCCAAGAGUUCAUAUCGACGGCGGUGUUUGGCACCUCGAUGUCGGCUCAUCACAUCCUGGGGCUGAAGUAGGUCCCAAGGGUAUGGCUGUUCGCCAUUUAAAGUGGUACGCGAGCUGGGUUUAGAACGUCGUGAGACAGUUCGGUCCCUAUCUGCCGUGGGCGCUGGAGAAUUGAGGGGGGCUGCUCCUAGUACGAGAGGACCGGAGUGGACGCAUCACUGGUGUUCGGGUUGUCAUGCCAAUGGCACUGCCCGGUAGCUAAAUGCGGAAGAGAUAAGUGCUGAAAGCAUCUAAGCACGAAACUUGCC
This 536-nucleotide ribosomal RNA is filed under the name Citrobacter freundii. RNAcentral describes it as "partial 23S ribosomal RNA". It matches the Rfam family "Bacterial large subunit ribosomal RNA", at positions 2263 to 2798 of the family's 2925-position model. RNAcentral also lists the same sequence under 2 other names. The record is from RNAcentral. Lineage: Bacteria; Pseudomonadati; Pseudomonadota; Gammaproteobacteria; Enterobacterales; Enterobacteriaceae.